UUUUUUUUUAAUUUAAGUUGUAGAUGUACACAUACCUUCAUUUUAUUUAUUUAUUUUUUUAUGUGGUGCUGAGGAUAGAACCCAGUACCCCACAAGUGGAAGGCAAGCGCUCUGCCAACGAGCCACAAGCCCAGCCCCAAGACCAUCUUAACCAUACCUUUGUGGCACACCAAGUGGUAGCAGUACAGAAAACAGAAAUGGGGGAUGUUCUAUGUUGAAUGACUUAUCAGUUACUUUGGGGCCCAUGCAAGCUCCAUUUCCACCCCAUCCUCAUCCCUUUAGCCCUUGGUGGGGUUGUGUUUGCCUCUAGGACCACAGGCCUCCACCUUAUCACAUGAGCAUAGCCAAUGGAAUCAGGUCGCCAGGUUAUGGAGUUAUCCCCUUGCAAAGUACAAAAAUGGAAUGAGUCGGGUGAGCCAUAAACCUUGGUGGGAAGAGGGGGUGGAGCUUGAGAGCUGGGCCUGGGAAGAGGGGGU
RNAcentral lists this long non-coding RNA (476 nucleotides) under Marmota monax (woodchuck). Lineage: Eukaryota; Metazoa; Chordata; Mammalia; Rodentia; Sciuridae. The record is from RNAcentral.